GCCGGUGGUUUUUUGCAGGAGGGAAACACCCAGUUCCAUCCCGAACCUGGUAGUUAAGCCUCCCCGCGCCGAUGAUACUGCUCUGGACACGGAGCGGGAAACUAGGACACCGCCGGAC
Ribosomal RNA from Stackebrandtia nassauensis DSM 44728, 118 nucleotides. The record is from Rfam. NCBI's taxonomy places the organism in Bacteria, Bacillati, Actinomycetota, Actinomycetes, Glycomycetales, Glycomycetaceae.